This 108-nucleotide non-coding RNA is filed under the name Gracilibacillus boraciitolerans. RNAcentral's name for it is "SAM-I sequence". It matches the Rfam family "SAM riboswitch aptamer (S box leader)". From Rfam's summary of the family: The SAM riboswitch is found upstream of a number of genes which code for proteins involved in methionine or cysteine biosynthesis in Gram-positive bacteria. The SAM riboswitch acts at the level of transcription termination control. The predicted structure consists of a complex stem-loop region followed by a single stem loop terminator region. RNAcentral also lists the same sequence under 1 other name. Lineage: Bacteria; Bacillati; Bacillota; Bacilli; Caryophanales; Bacillaceae. The record is from RNAcentral.
UUCUUAUCCAGAGAGGUGGAGGGGCUGGCCCUUUGAGACCUCAGCAACCGUCUAAAAAGACAAGGUGCUAAUUCCAGCAAGCAUGUAAAUAUGCUUGGAAGAUGAGAG